Dromiciops gliroides (monito del monte) is the source of this 104-nucleotide small nuclear RNA. The record is from RefSeq and is a predicted model, not a curated record. NCBI's taxonomy places the organism in Eukaryota, Metazoa, Chordata, Mammalia, Microbiotheria, Microbiotheriidae.
GCAUUCACUUCAACAACACAUAUACUAAAACUGUAAUAAAACAGAGAUUAGCAUGGCCCCUGUGCAAGGAUGACAUGCAAAUUAAUGAAGUGUUUCAUAUUGUU